This 594-nucleotide long non-coding RNA is filed under the name Mytilus galloprovincialis (Mediterranean mussel). The record is from RNAcentral. Lineage: Eukaryota; Metazoa; Mollusca; Bivalvia; Mytilida; Mytilidae.
UUUUGCAUCAAAGGGAGAUAAUUUGGAGCUUUUUCAAUGAUAUAAACAUUUUAAAAGUCAUCUGGGGUCAAACUGAAUCGAUUUUUUGGGGUGAUUUUUGUACCAUAUCAUAAAGUAAUAACUAUUAGUGUAAUAGAUAAAAUUUGUAACAAAAAACAAAUGUUUAAUUUGUUGCUGAAAUUUUUGUACCCACGAGCCUCCUUAAGGGCAUGUUCAAAUUUACUCACUACCAAAGGAAUAUUUUAUACACAACUGUUUUAAAGUAGUGUUUGUUACAUGGUCAGUUCCUUUAAGAACUCAAUCAUGUGACAUUUAUUUGGAAAAUCUUAAAAAUAACUUUGUAGAAAGAUCUGAUUAGACCUCUAAUAAAACAGUAUUAUUUACAGACUUUUAUAUAAUGUUGAGGAUGUUGUGUCAAUGUUUUAUAAAUCUUUUGCAAUAAAUUUACAUACACAUUUCUUUUUUUUUUUUUUUUUCUGCUGUUAACUGGGUCUUAAAUGGAGAAGUUUGGCAGAUUGUUGGCUGAACCAUAGUUUCUGAACCAUUUUAUCCAAUGUUUUCCAAUUUAAAAUGUUCAAUGUUGAAGAUUUAAAC